CCAUAACUGCCCCUGGAUUUACGUUUACCGUGAGGAGGAUGAGGCAAUGGCGACGGUGGCCGAGGCGCCGGCAAACCGUCGACUUCCGCAACCAGGACAGGGGCGAUCUACCGGACAGUCGUUCGCUCCUCCUCCAAGCGACCGCGAUCCUGCCGUCGGCCAUCCUGCAAGCGGCGUUGGCCUGGAGGUCGUCUUCAUCAGCCACACCAUCCAGGACUGGAGACACUGUUGUGAAGAUGUCAGCACCACCUGUCCCCAUCAAAUCCGUACAAGCUCGCCCCAUCUCCUCUCAGAUCUCGUCAGCCUCUCCAUUCUCGGUGCCUGAUCAAGCACCAAUGUGAUGUUGUUCAUUCCUUGUUGGAUACUCAUAGAUAUGCGUUGAGCUGAGCUCAAUUAAUGUAAAGCCCACCCUUUCUAACCGAGCUUUGUUGUAGCCAUCUUCUUAUGAUCAUACAAAAUAGUUAAGCAGCAUGUCGUUUCUUUUGUAUCUUCAUGCGCAGAUUUUUAACAGGCGGAGUAUUGUUGCUUCGAGUGUGUCUCCGGUUCAAUGUCACAUGACACCAUCGCUCCGCCAGGCCGGUAUGAGGGAGCGCCAUGGGAGAACCUAGCCCGUAGCCUAACCAUGGCGGCGGCCGGCAGGGGAGCUUGUCCCGGCGAUCCAGCAUCCCGGCGUGGAGGCGCCUCCGGCGAGCACCCUGACCCACGUGAGAAGACCGCAGUGGAAGCGUCUUGUCUGGUCGAGCAGCCAUGGUUCUGAUUGUUCAUGUUGAUUUUGAGUUGGGGUAGCAGGGGAAUUCACACUGUAGUGGAGUGAAAUUCAGAAGGACAUAGCAGAGGAUGUCCUGGAAGAAUACCAAAAAGGUUGCGGCCGAGAGACAAAGUUGGGAACAUAGGAUGUCUGGAUGCUGAUGCAGAGGCUUCUCAUUCUGUUCAUUUGUGUUGUGUCGUUCCUUGCCAGAAUUCUAUACAUGUGUAUGGUAGCUAAUUCUGCUGGCUGAAUUCUAACCAUGUCUAUCCGCACAUGCUUUCUAUGUCGGAAGUGGCAUGUGAACUUCUGUGAGCAUAUUCCUUUUAAUUGGUUGAGAAAAUUGUACUUUGCGUUAAACUAGGUUUGUUUCUGAAUUUGACUCUAUUGAUGAGCUCCAUGAUCUAUCAUAAAGUGUUGCCAGAA
Triticum aestivum (bread wheat) is the source of this 1171-nucleotide long non-coding RNA. RefSeq lists it as uncharacterized. The record is from RefSeq and is a predicted model, not a curated record. NCBI's taxonomy places the organism in Eukaryota, Viridiplantae, Streptophyta, Magnoliopsida, Poales, Poaceae. The transcript has 3 exons.